This 1710-nucleotide long non-coding RNA is filed under the name Homo sapiens (human). RNAcentral's name for it is "HSALNT0299057". The record is from RNAcentral. Lineage: Eukaryota; Metazoa; Chordata; Mammalia; Primates; Hominidae.
UUUGUCAUGGCAAAAUUUUAUUUGUUACUUUUGGCAUUAUUUACAAGUAUAAAAUAUUAUUCAUACAUUAUAAUACCAGUCAUGUAGAGUAGCUGGGUAGAGAAGUUAUUAUCAUUGCAGAAACUACAUAUUGCAGAAAUAAUGUCUUUAUAGAAGAGGGACUUCGCUUUUUCUAUUCAUAUGUAAGAGACAUACAAGUGCUACUAGUGCACACUAUUAACUUUACUCAAAAGGCUAACUACAGGAUAUCUUCUAAGAGGAAUUUUGUCUACUGUAUUUCUCUGGCGCACAUGGACUCAAUACCUCAUUGCUUUUCACUUGUGAUGAUGUCUUUUUUUUAUUGCUCUACAUCAUCUAUCCAUUGAGGAUGUUGCUUGAUAUGUGUCCUCUGCAAGUAUAUAGCAAGAUUCUCAAAGCCAAGAGAAGUAUCUUGUAAUUUUUUUUUUUUUUUUUAGAUGGAGUCUCGCUUUGUCACCAGGCUGGAGUGCAGUGGUGCGAUCUCGGCUCACUCACUGCAACCUCCAACUCCCUGGUUCAAGCGAUUCUCCUGCCUCAGCCUCCCAAGUACCUGGGAUUACAGGCAUGCACCACCACACCCAGCUGAUUUUUGUAUUUUUAGUAGAGACGGGGUUUCAUCAUGUUGGCCAGGAUGGCCUCGAUCUCUUGACCUCGUGUUCUGCCUGCCUCGGCCUCCCAAAGUGCUGGGAUUACAGGCGUGAGCCACCGCAUCUGGUCCGAGAAGUAUCUUGUAUUUAUAUAUUGCAAUGAGACUUCUCUCUCACGUCUUCACACUAAAGCAUCAUAUCCCUCCAGUUCUGAAUUUCUCUUGAGCUUCACAAUGUUCUUCUGAGCACUGAAGCAAUAUAAUUUAACUAUAAUUUAUAAAGCUGAAUAAAGCGGUACAUAUAUAAUGCCCAGCAGCAGGUACCUCAAGCUUUACAUAUCUCAAAACUCAAAGUAUUUUUUUCCGUCAAAUCUGUGCCUCCUCAAUAUUUUCACCUUCAGUAGCAGAAGUUUUUCACCCAUGACUUUUCUUUCCCAUUCACCAAAUUUUAAAAUUCCUCCAUCACAAAUGCCUCUUCUGCCACCUCUUUUUAAUUUCCACUAGUCCUGACCAUGUGCAGGUCAUAAUUAUCUGCCUCUUAGACCACUGCAGUAGUCUUCUAAUAGAUUGCUCUGAAUCCAAUUUCUAAUUAGUAGAAUCCAUCCUUUGUAUUCCUCCCCAUGAUACAUUUCCAAAUAUUGCUAUGAUGUACUUAUUCAAUCAAAAAAAUUUGGACAGAAUAUAGUCCAAAUUCUUUACCAUGGCAUUCAAGGCUCUCCAAAAACUGGCCUUGGAUUCCUAGCUGGCUAGCUCAUUGAGGUUAGGAGUAUGUUUCUUAAAAUAUCUGGAUAGAGCAGCAAGUUCUGUGUGUCUCUGUAGAUGUGUGUAUAUUUAUGUACACACAUUUGUUUUAUUGAUGGAAUCAUUAACAUUACUCUCAUGCAUCAUGAUUGCUUAGCUGGAAAUGUUGUCAAAUAAAAAACAGGGCCAGACAGUAGUUGAAGUGGCAAAAACACUGUAGUCAGGAACUACUGCAAUAAGAGAAAAGAGACCUCAAUACAGAGCUGGGCUCAAUUCCAAUUACAGCAUGGACAAGUGGGGAUUUAAAGCCAAGGGGGCGUCAGGUCAAGUGGAUGGAAACUUACUGAUAGGGAACAUCACGGGUG